UACGUAGGGGGCUAGCGUUGUCCGGAUUUAUUGGGCGUAAAGAGCGUGUAGGCGGCCAGGUAGGUCUGCUGUGAAAACUCGAGGCUCAACCUCGAGAUGUCGAUGGAAACCGUCUGGCUAGAGUCCGGAAGAGGAGUGUGGAAUUCCUGGUGUAGCGGUGAAAUGCGCAGAUAUCAGGAAGAACACCUAUGGCGAAGGCAGCACUCUGGGACGGUAUUGACGCUGAGGCGCGAAAGCUAGGGGAGCAAACGGG
This 253-nucleotide ribosomal RNA is filed under the name uncultured bacterium. RNAcentral describes it as "partial 16S ribosomal RNA". It matches the Rfam family "Bacterial small subunit ribosomal RNA", at positions 524 to 776 of the family's 1533-position model. The record is from RNAcentral.